AUUGAACGCUGGCGGCAGGCUUAACACAUGCAAGUCGAGCGAGAGGCGGACGGGUGAGUAAUGUCUGUGAAACUGCCUGAUGGAGGGGGUUAAUAACUGGACGCUGUAGCUAAUACCGCAUACCAUCAGAUGUGCCGAGAUGGGAUUAGCUAGGAGGUGGGGUAAUGGCUCACCAAGGCGACGAUCCCUAGCUGGUCUGAGAGGAUGACCAGCCACACUGGAACUGAGACACGGUCCAGACUCCUACGGGAGGCAGCAGUGGGGAAUAGUGCACAAGGGGCGCAAGCCUGAUGCAGCCAUGCCGCGUGUGUGAAGAAGGCCUUCGGGUUGUAAAGCACUUUUAGCGAGGAGGCGUUACUCGCAGAAGAAGCACCGGCUAACUCCGUGCCAGCAGCCGCGGUAAUAC
This 406-nucleotide ribosomal RNA is filed under the name uncultured bacterium. Its description in RNAcentral is "partial 16S ribosomal RNA". It matches the Rfam family "Bacterial small subunit ribosomal RNA", at positions 30 to 526 of the family's 1533-position model. The record is from RNAcentral.